This 253-nucleotide ribosomal RNA is filed under the name uncultured bacterium. RNAcentral describes it as "partial 16S ribosomal RNA". It matches the Rfam family "Bacterial small subunit ribosomal RNA", at positions 524 to 776 of the family's 1533-position model. The record is from RNAcentral.
CACGUAGGGCGCAAGCGUUGUCCGGAAUUAUUGGGCGUAAAGAGCUCGUAGGUGGUUUGUCGCGUUGUCCGUGAAAACUCACAACUCAAUUGUGGGCGUGCGGGCGAUACGGGCAGACUGGAGUACUGCAGGGGAGACUGGAAUUCCUGGUGUAGCGGUGGAAUGCGCAGAUAUCAGGAGGAACACCGGUGGCGAAGGCGGGUCUCUGGGCAGUAACUGACGCUGAGGAGCGAAAGCGUGGGGAGCGAACAGG